GACGGAGGGAGCUAGCGUUGUUCGGAAUGACUGGGCGUAAAGGGCGCGUAGGCGGUUUUUUAAGUGAGGCGUGAAAGCCCUGGGCUUAACCCAGGAGGUGCGUUUCAGACUGGAAGACUUGAGGACGAGAGAGGAAAGUGGAAUUCCUAGUGUAGAGGUGAAAUUCGUAGAUAUUAGGAAGAACACCAGUGGCGAAGGCGACUUUCUGGCUCGUAACUGACGCUGAGGCGCGAAAGCGUGGGGAGCAAACAGGAU
Molecule: ribosomal RNA, 255 nt
Filed under: uncultured bacterium
Lineage: Bacteria
Description: partial 16S ribosomal RNA
Rfam family: Bacterial small subunit ribosomal RNA
Source: RNAcentral